RNAcentral lists this long non-coding RNA (3747 nucleotides) under Citrus x clementina. Its description in RNAcentral is "Citrus clementina (C. clementina) long non-coding RNA (CCLE_LNC004196)". Lineage: Eukaryota; Viridiplantae; Streptophyta; Magnoliopsida; Sapindales; Rutaceae. The record is from RNAcentral.
AUUAUAAAAAUCUAAUAACACAGUAAUAAGAUUUAUGAUUAUGAAUUAAGCGCGUUUAAUUUAUUACUUUUUCAAAUGAUUUUUUGGCAUUUGCUUCUAAAUGAAAUUAUAAGCUACUAAUUUAUCCAAUGCACUAAAAAAUGAACCAAAUCAAAAUUUCCAUUCAUCUACACAGGUUUACAAGAUUUUUUUACAAGCGUUUGGAAAAUAAAACCAAUACAAAACUAAAUCAAUUUACAGCUUCUAAAAACUAGAGUUCGCAUGCUGCUAUAUUUCAAGGGUCCCUGCAUACAAAAAUAAAUAAAAUAAUAAUAAUAAUAAAUAAAUGAUAAUAAAAAACAAGGCCAGGAAAAAAUAAAUAAUAUUCAAAAUUUCAAAUGCAUAUCCUAAAUUCUUGGGUAGGACCAAAUAAAUUUUAUUUUCAACAAAAAAAAAAUCCAAUGUGAACUAAACACAAAACUAUAUACUAAUUUCUAACAAUAUAUUUUUUUAAAGAAAUUUUUAACAGCAAUAUUAAAACAUAAAAUUAUUACCAGACUAGCAUACUUGUUCCAUGCAAUUUUUACGUCAACUUUAAUUUAACAAUAAAGUAUCUUUGGAAGAUAAAGAGGAGAACACAUCUACAAUAAAUAAGAACAAACUGAUUGCAUGAAUAAUGUAAAUCAUCAAAUAGCAUCUAACAUGAACAACUUCCAAAAAUGAAAAGAAACUAAGCACCUAAAAAUAACUGUCAAAAAUUCAUCAACAUAUAGAUUUGUUCUUGUAAGUAAAAUGCAUUCAAAAUCUAAAUCGUGUUUAUUUAUCCAUUGGCUUAUAUAUUUAGUGUAGUUUUCAUAAUUUUUAUAAUUUUUCGGCAUACCCAAAAACAAUAUCUAAGUGGGGUGGGGGGACACAACUCAAUAUAAUUUUUAACUUUUUCUUUCAUUUUUCUAGCUUGAAACAAUUGAAUGGAAUAAAGCUGCUAUAGAAAUCAGUAUUACAGCAGCAUUCAGUUUAGGAAACAAAUGAAAAAAAAUAACACGGGACUUUAAUUUUAAGAAUUCUUCAGAAGUAAAAAUAUGACCAAAUUACCCUAAUAAUGUCUGUUAAUAAACUACCUUCAUUAUAUUAUUUAACAAAACACAUACACAGAGGUUAUACCAUGUAUGAUUUUCAAUUCUUUUGUAAUUUCCUUAGGCAUUCAUUUUCCGAAAAUCUAAUAUAAACCAAUAUUACCCGCUUAUUACUACUAUUUUCUUUAUUCUAGGUUACUACCAAAAUUAAGCAAAUAUAAAAGAAUUCGGAAAAUAGCUCUUCAAAAUCUAAUUUCUCUUUAGCUAUUUAUUGUUCAAGAAUAAUUUACCAAAAGAAGCUUAUUUGUCGUACAUAAAAGGAUUGUCAUGCUCAGCUAACGAUCCAGUUGACUAACCCAAACUCAUAAUUCCCAUCAUCACCUUUGCAUAACACAUAAUAUUAAUAUAGUGACUGGAAACCACAAAAUUCAUGCACUGAAAUCAAAACAUCACAACAAUUCAAGAAACUUGAAAUUCAUUUGUUGCUCUGAAAAAGGAGAAUACAUCCAGAAUUAACAAGAUCAAAACUUUUCAGGACUACGGAUCCAUGAUUGCAUGAACAACAUAUAUCAUGAGAAUAGCAUCUAAUAUGAAAAACUUACAAAAUGCAAUAGAAAUUAAGCUUUGAAACGGUAGGAAUAACGAUAUCACAACAGAGAAAAAACAACUCAAAUCAAUGUCUUUUUUAGCCUUUUUUAAAAAUUUUUCUAGUAUAAAACACUAAAAAGAAAUAAAAUUACUGUAGAAAUCAACAUUAUCCUGCAUUUACUUUAGGAAACAAACGAAAAGAAGCAGAAUACAUGUGACCUUAAUUUUAUGAAUUCUUCGGAAGUAAAGAAAUUCAAUGCUAUCUAAUUGGAUUUCAUUACUGAAUUUCACAAGUUAUAUACACAUACAUACACACAUACAUUAUCACAUAAAUUUAUUGUCAACCUCCAGAAUUCAGAUGCAAUUUUUUCUUUAAUUUCAACUGUCUAAACAUUUGGACCCUAAUUUUUAUAUUUCUUUCAAUAAAGGCAUAGUUCACCUAUUUCAUCAAAUAAAAACAUGACCAAAUUACCCCAAAUAAUAUCAGUUAAUAAGUAACUUUUAUUAUUACUUAUAAAAUUUACCUUUAUUAUAUUCUUAACAGAUUUUUCUUUGAAUUGGCGACAGUAAGCUCAAGCUUAGGCUACUCAUCACUCAUCANNNNNNNNNNNNNNNNNNNNNNNNNNNNNNNNNNNNNNNNNNNNNNNNNNNNNNNNNNNNNNNNNNNNNNNNNNNNNNNNNNNNNNNNNNNNNNNNNNNNAGAUCGUCUGUCAAUUUUCUCCCCUUGCCAAUCCAUCUAGAAUGGAACCAUAAAACAUGCAAGAAAAAAAAAGGGAUUGAAAAAUGUAAUUGAUAAUUCAAAAUAUAUAAAAAAAUAAUUAAAGUUAAUUUCUAAGCCCUAAUAAGACGAGUUCAAGAAAAGGGAACUGAAUUUAUAAAUUUUUUUAUGCAAAAUGCUUGAGCAUAGAUUUUUAAUACAAUUUCAAACCUUGUUCAUUUACCUCGAACUGUAAGUGUUCGAAAGAUGCCAACUUUUUUAUUGAUUGAUUAUGGGAGAUUAACGAAAGUGAAAAGAUGAGGGAUCUAGGGACUGUAGUGAGAAAGACAGAAGGUAAAAGCGAGAUUUACAAACUUUAAGGGCAAAAACUCAUGGCGGCUGCUUGUUUUUCUUUUUGUUAAGCAUCUACGAUGGUGCCCGGUGAUAUCUUUGAGUUGAGCGGGUAGGGCUUCUUAACAAUGGAACAAUGAGAGGCAUUUAUAUUUUGAAUCAAAAUUUGGGGAAAAAUUAAAAAAUUGUAAAUGUACCCAGUACUAAAAAAAAAAUCGCGUUUUAUCUUGGCGGUAGUUUUACCCGCCGAAAUGAAACCUAAUUACUUAUUGUUUCACCAAAAAUAUAAUUUAAUUAAUUUAAAAAACAUAGAUAUAAAAUUUAAGCUUGUUAAUAUUUUUAUUAUUUUUAGUUGUUAUAUAAAUCAACUUAAUUUAAAAAAAAUAUAGAUAUAAAUGUAAGAUUGAACUAAUUUUGUGAUAAUCGCACACUAUUUAGUAUACAAAUCAUGAACCAUCUAGUGAGUGCAGUAUUAUUCAAAUAAUUUGAUUUAAUUUGGAAAUGUAAUUAUCAUGCUUAAAGCAUAUAACUGUAAAAAUAAUUUAAUAUAACAUUAUUCAAUAUUAAUUGCAUUCAAAUUGUAAUUAUCCAUAUUAUGUACCAUUAUGAAUUUGAUUAUUGUUUACCAAAAUGAUUUACUAUGCCAUAAAAGAUUAAAUAAAGUAAUUAAUUUGACAUAAUUUUGUAUUAAUUAAUUUGCAUAAGAGAUUGUUUGUGAGUUUUAUAUAAAAAUAUCAAAUAUUAGAUGCUUUAUAUUUGUCUAAUAUACAAUUAUUUUUUUGGAUGGUAUACAGAGAACGUAUUAAUAUUAGCCACUAAUAAUAACAAUAACAAUAUUUAAGGGGUAAGUAUGAUGUUUGGUAUGAUAAUUAUUCGAUAGUAGGAUAAACAUUGCAAUCAUUUUUGUAGGUAGAGAUUUAAGUGCAUGUAUGUGUAUUGUGGGGUAUUGGGAUUGAUUUCUUCCAAAUAUUUAGAAUUGAAUUGUUUUCAUUAUAUGUUUUAGAUACUUGGAUUUUAAUGCGAUUAAAAGUUGAUAAAGUUGUUUUGAUAGUUUUUUAA